Molecule: ribosomal RNA, 164 nt
Filed under: uncultured bacterium
Lineage: Bacteria
Description: partial 16S ribosomal RNA
Rfam family: Bacterial small subunit ribosomal RNA
Source: RNAcentral
UAGGGAAUCUUCCACAAUGGGCGCAAGCCUGAUGGAGCAACACCGCGUGAGUGAAGAAGGGUUUCGGCUCGUAAAGCUCUGUUGUUAAAGAAGAACACGUAUGAGAGCAACUGUUCAUACGUUGACGGUAUUUAACCAGAAAGUCACGGCUAACUACGUGCAAG